This 253-nucleotide ribosomal RNA is filed under the name uncultured bacterium. Its description in RNAcentral is "partial 16S ribosomal RNA". It matches the Rfam family "Bacterial small subunit ribosomal RNA", at positions 524 to 776 of the family's 1533-position model. The record is from RNAcentral.
UACGUAGGUGGCAAGCGUUGUCCGGAUUUAUUGGGUUUAAAGGGUGCGUAGGCGGCUCCGUAAGUCAGUGCUGAAAUAUCCCGGCUUAACCGGGAGGGUGGCAUUGAUACUGUGGAGCUUGAGUGUAGUCGAGGUAGGCGGAAUUGACGGUGUAGCGGUGAAAUGCUUAGAUAUCGUCAAGAACACCGAUAGUGUAGACAGCUUACUAGGCUACAACUGACGCUGAGGCACGAAAGUGUGGGGAUCAAACAGG